RNAcentral lists this ribosomal RNA (392 nucleotides) under fungal sp. 2.34.4G. Its description in RNAcentral is "eukaryotic LSU rRNA". The stretch from base 60 to 213 matches the Rfam family "5.8S ribosomal RNA". Lineage: Eukaryota; Fungi. The record is from RNAcentral.
GCCCGCCAGAGAACCAAACUCUGAAUGUUAGUGAUGUCUGAGUACUAUCUAAUAGUUAAAACUUUCAACAACGGAUCUCUUGGUUCUGGCAUCGAUGAAGAACGCAGCGAAAUGCGAUAAGUAAUGUGAAUUGCAGAAUUCAGUGAAUCAUCGAAUCUUUGAACGCACAUUGCGCCCUGUGGUAUUCCGCAGGGCAUGCCUGUUCGAGCGUCAUUUAACCACUCACGCCUAGCGUGGUAUUGGGGCACGCGGUCUCCGCGGCCCUCAAAAUGAGUGGCGGCGCCGGUGGGCUCUAAGCGUAGUACAUACUCCCGCUAUAGAGUUCCCCCGGUGGCUCGCCAGAACCCCCAAUUUUUACAGGUUGACCUCGGAUCAGGUAGGGAUACCCAGCU